Molecule: long non-coding RNA, 907 nt
Organism: Olea europaea var. sylvestris
Lineage: Eukaryota; Viridiplantae; Streptophyta; Magnoliopsida; Lamiales; Oleaceae
Exons: 3
Source: RefSeq, a predicted model, not a curated record
AAAAGAAAAAGAAAAAGAAAAAGAAAAGAAAAAUUAGUACCAUAGGGAAAAUGGAAACCCUAGAAGCAGCCGUCUCCUUUUGGGCUUUUAUAUAUUAAAUCACUUUUCACUUCCUUACCUCCCCUCACAAACCCGCCUUCAUCAUGGCUUGAGAUGGUGAAGAUUUGACAAGAUAAUCAACAAGGAAAUAGCGGCUGACAUUGUGUACGAGAAUGACAAGUUCUAGCUUUUAGGGACAUAAAUCCACUGGCGCCCGCACACAUAAUUAUUGUCCCUAAAAUGAAGGAUGGAUUGACUAGACUUUCUAAGGCUACAUUUGAAGAUAGCCUGUUGAAGGAGGCUGAAGAAAAAAAGCACAGCACUAUAAAAGAAGCCGUGGAAGUAGGCAACUUGAGUGGAGUUUAUCGCUUAACCCUCACUCACUUCAACCAAUGAUACCCGAAAAUUCCCAAAUGUGAUGGAAAAAUUCACAUGCAUAAAAUGUGCAUUGCAUUUGAUAAUAUGAGUGUUAACUUAGCAGAUUUGCCUAUUCUUCCAAGAGUAGUGCCAUCCCUAGAACUCUUGUUUGGUGAUGAGAAGAUUACUGAAGAUGUAACUGCUACUUAAUUUAUUAUUUAAAUCCUUUUAUUUAAACUUGUAGUGUUGGUUAGUAGUUAAAUACUAGUUAGUAAGAGAUUGAGCCAAAGCUUCUUGUUCCCAAUUUAAAUUGCAUUCCUACAUGAAAACGACAGUUUUGGCUCGUCUGAUACAAUAGGUAUUUCAAGAUGACAGUUGCUAUUACUAAUUGGGAUAGCGUUUGCUUCCUUUUUAAGCAUGUCGCCUGUUGGUUCAAUUUACACUUAUUUAACUUAGGAGAGUGGGCUAAUUCGGGUGCGUGUUAUUAUGGAUCAUCUUUUGAUUGAAUUUA